GUGCCAGCAGCCGCGGUAAUACGGAGGGUGCAAGCGUUGUUCGGAAUUAUUGGGCGUAAAGCGCGUGCAGGCGGUUGCUUAAGUCUGAUGUGAAAGCCCUGGGCUCAACCCGGGAAGUGCAUUGGAAACUGGGCAACUUGAGUACGGGAGAGGAUAGUGGAAUUCCGAGUGUAGGGGUGAAAUCCGUAGAUAUUCGGAGGAACACCGGUGGCGAAGGCGGCUAUCUGGACCGAUACUGACGCUGAGACGCGAAAGCGUGGGGAGCAAACAGGAUUAGAUACCCCUGUAGUCC
This 292-nucleotide ribosomal RNA is filed under the name uncultured bacterium. RNAcentral describes it as "partial 16S ribosomal RNA". It matches the Rfam family "Bacterial small subunit ribosomal RNA", at positions 505 to 796 of the family's 1533-position model. The record is from RNAcentral.